AGAAAGCUUAUAUUUUAGAAUGCUCUUUCUUUGUUCUGUCAUACCGCAUAAGCAGGCGGGGGAACUUAGUAGCAGCUGCUUAACGAAGAAAUAAGCGAAGAAGGUGACCUGCACAAUAUUGCUGCUUCAACCACUUUUUGCAGAUCAAGGUUUAUUCUUACAGGUUUCCUUUUUACGCGUAUGUGAUAUGUAUAACCAGAAAAGGAUGAAAGGAAGCAAGCUGCUGACUAUCGUUUUAAUGAGCUCUCAUUUAACAACGUUGGAAUGUAUCUGGAAAGUUCCAGGAAAGACAUACGGCAUCAGAAAGUUUUUAAGCACAUCACUUCCCAUAUGGACAUUCAACACAACCAAAGGCGGGAAAUCCCGAUGUUACGUAGACAUAAUGGAAUAUGUGGACAAAGGUUCAAUAACAUACAAUCACCUAUGUUACGAAGGACCCAAAAGAAAGCAUGUCAAAAUGGUGGGGACAUUUGAUAGAGAUAAAAAAAGCAAAAUAACCGUCAGACCAAAAGAUGGAGCAUUAAAUAUGACAUAUGAAAUCGUCUAUUUAAAUGGGAAAUACAAGUGCGCUGUGCUCAGGAUCACGUUGCCAUUACUUGGGAAUCGGCAUUUGUACGACAUGCGUGUUUGGAACUCUUCCGUUAACUCCCACGGAGUAAGGAACUGUAUUACAAAAUUUAGCCAACUCGAACACAAAGGACAUGGUAUUUAUGAUGCCUCCUGCCAGCAUAUACUUCAUAAUGGCAAUGGAAGACCGCAACUGCACAUGCCUAAUGGAAAACCGACGCGUCAAAAGUUAUAAAUGAUGAAAAACACAACAUACAACGGUACUGAUAUAGUGUUAUACAAAUGUACCAUUGGUAUGAGCACACGGCCUUGUUUAGCGUGUAUGUGUGAUGUGUUGGCAAAUAAAGGACACAUAAAAUAUC
Molecule: long non-coding RNA, 929 nt
Organism: Rhipicephalus sanguineus (brown dog tick)
Lineage: Eukaryota; Metazoa; Arthropoda; Arachnida; Ixodida; Ixodidae
Exons: 5
Source: RefSeq, a predicted model, not a curated record